This 1668-nucleotide ribosomal RNA is filed under the name Escherichia coli. RNAcentral describes it as "partial 23S ribosomal RNA". It matches the Rfam family "Bacterial large subunit ribosomal RNA", at positions 1291 to 2925 of the family's 2925-position model. The record is from RNAcentral. Lineage: Bacteria; Pseudomonadati; Pseudomonadota; Gammaproteobacteria; Enterobacterales; Enterobacteriaceae.
CGAAUGCUGACAUAAGUAACGAUAAAGCGGGUGAAAAGCCCGCUCGCCGGAAGACCAAGGGUUCCUGUCCAACGUUAAUCGGGGCAGGGUGAGUCGACCCCUAAGGCGAGGCCGAAAGGCGUAGUCGAUGGGAAACAGGUUAAUAUUCCUGUACUUGGUGUUACUGCGAAGGGGGGACGGAGAAGGCUAUGUUGGCCGGGCGACGGUUGUCCCGGUUUAAGCGUGUAGGCUGGUUUUCCAGGCAAAUCCGGAAAAUCAAGGCUGAGGCGUGAUGACGAGGCACUACGGUGCUGAAGCGACAAAUGCCCUGCUUCCAGGAAAAGCCUCUAAGCAUCAGGUAACAUCAAAUCGUACCCCAAACCGACACAGGUGGUCAGGUAGAGAAUACCAAGGCGCUUGAGAGAACUCGGGUGAAGGAACUAGGCAAAAUGGUGCCGUAACUUCGGGAGAAGGCACGCUGAUAUGUAGGUGAAGCGACUUGCUCGUGGAGCUGAAAUCAGUCGAAGAUACCAGCUGGCUGCAACUGUUUAUUAAAAACACAGCACUGUGCAAACACGAAAGUGGACGUAUACGGUGUGACGCCUGCCCGGUGCCGGAAGGUUAAUUGAUGGGGUUAGCGGUAACGCGAAGCUCUUGAUCGAAGCCCCGGUAAACGGCGGCCGUAACUAUAACGGUCCUAAGGUAGCGAAAUUCCUUGUCGGGUAAGUUCCGACCUGCACGAAUGGCGUAAUGAUGGCCAGGCUGUCUCCACCCGAGACUCAGUGAAAUUGAACUCGCUGUGAAGAUGCAGUGUACCCGCGGCAAGACGGAAAGACCCCGUGAACCUUUACUAUAGCUUGACACUGAACAUUGAGCCUUGAUGUGUAGGAUAGGUGGGAGGCUUUGAAGUGUGGACGCCAGUCUGCAUGGAGCCGACCUUGAAAUACCACCCUUUAAUGUUUGAUGUUCUAACGUGGGCCCCUUACCGGGGUUGCGGACAGUGUCUGGUGGGUAGUUUGACUGGGGCGGUCUCCUCCUAAAGAGUAACGGAGGAGCACGAAGGUUGGCUAAUCCUGGUCGGACAUCAGGAGGUUAGUGCAAUGGCAUAAGCCAGCUUGACUGCGAGCGUGACGGCGCGAGCAGGUGCGAAAGCAGGUCAUAGUGAUCCGGUGGUUCUGAAUGGAAGGGCCAUCGCUCAACGGAUAAAAGGUACUCCGGGGAUAACAGGCUGAUACCGCCCAAGAGUUCAUAUCGACGGCGGUGUUUGGCACCUCGAUGUCGGCUCAUCACAUCCUGGGGCUGAAGUAGGUCCCAAGGGUAUGGCUGUUCGCCAUUUAAAGUGGUACGCGAGCUGGGUUUAGAACGUCGUGAGACAGUUCGGUCCCUAUCUGCCGUGGGCGCUGGAGAACUGAGGGGGGCUGCUCCUAGUACGAGAGGACCGGAGUGGACGCAUCACUGGUGUUCGGGUUGUCAUGCCAAUGGCACUGCCCGGUAGCUAAAUGCGGAAGAGAUAAGUGCUGAAAGCAUCUAAGCACGAAACUUGCCCCGAGAUGAGUUCUCCCUGACUCCUUGAGAGUCCUGAAGGAACGUUGAAGACGACGACGUUGAUAGGCCGGGUGUGUAAGCGCAGCGAUGCGUUGAGCUAACCGGUACUAAUGAACCGUGAGGCUUAACCUUACAACGCCGAAG